AACGUCUGUACAGCUCCACACAAGUUUUGCUUUGGACUAAGGCAGCACGUUAUCUUCAUUUUCGUGGACUUGUUUCUUAUUUUAACGUCUGCUACAGGUCGUCUUCAGUUACUACGGGACAGCAUCUUCUGCCAGCAUCUACCAGAGGUCAGUCCAGUGGUUGCUUGCAAGAAGUCAUUGAGAUGAUUUUGACGAGAAGGGAGAGCUUCUGUUCCACUGCGUUGAGAUGACAAGCCUUUCAGAUGUUCAGAUGGAGAAAGUGCCACCAACGCCCUUCAUCAUUGUUUGCGGUUCCUCCUGCUUCGCUGCUGAAACAUUCAUGUUGAGCAUUGACAAGAAGAUUGUCAACGACCGCAUCACAACCUUCACCUCUGCUAUCUGCCUAAUGUUUGGCAGUUACAGUACUACUGCUUUAACAUACACUACCCUGUGGAACUACGAUCAACACUGGAGUUCCUUCAACGGUGUUUCUUUUCCAUAAAUCCUGAGAGAGGCACUAAGGUUGAAUCAAAGAAGAAAAAAGUGUUCUCAGUCAAUCCCAGAGUCCUCACUCUCAUCUCAGACAUUGCUGACCAUGAGUGGAUCUAGUCCUACCCCUCUUGUUUGAGACAAAGUGAUAAAGGUAUACUGUUACAUACUCUACAGAUGUUCUGUUUUUGAAACAUUUCUGAUUGUGAGUGGGAAGUUUUUAACAAUGUGAAGUUUUACUAGACAAAAUUUCUAAAAGUACAUGUUCUACUUUUGAUUCACUGUUUUAUAUAUGAAAAAUGUAUCUGGUAAAAAUGUGGUAAACCUGCUAUUUAUUUUCAAUUUUAACAGAAUAAAAUUGUAUUUUAUUAUUUUUUUUAUAGUUAAUUUUACAGGGAAAAAAUGUGUUUUCUGGCACAAACUUUAUUUUAUGUUAUUUUCAUGUUAAUUUUAGGGAAAAAUAUUAUUUUUUCUUCAAGUUAAAACAUUUUCUUCUACGGUAAAAUAUUGAUCCUAGCACUAUUUUUAACCGUAAAAUCAACAAUAACAAUACCUUCUUACUGUUAAAGAAGAAAAUGUUUCACCCGUAAUUUUACGGUAGAUUUCUGGCAACCACAGCUGCCAGCGUUUUACCGUAAAAUCUACAGUUUUUUUUUUUUUUUUACAGUGCAUAAUUUUAAUUUUAUUUAUUUUAUUUUAUGUUUUGAUUUAUUUUCUUUUUUGGUGGUUUCAGCUCCACAAGUUCCAUGUUAAUUUGAUCUAGUCUUGUUUUAAGUUCUGUAAAUUUUUCUUAUACCUGUUUUUUAUUAUAAGUAGUUGUUCCAUGUUGUUCAUUCAUUGAAUGAAGGGUUGAAACUGGUCUCGCAGGCUGACCUAAAACAGCAAAAACUUUUCUGAGGCCUUGUGGCCAGUGCCAAAUAGUGUUCACACAGGAUAGAUUAAUAAAUGUUCAUGUCCUUGCUGUGGUAGAACCAAACAGCAAACUCCUGGGCUGGCUAUCUUUCAGUGUCGACGUGAGACCAAAUCUAAAAGUGAGUGAGUUCCCACAGUCUCCCAUAUUAGCAUGCUUAUAUGUUUCCAGCCCUGCUAUGGUCUCUAUGGAUAUUUUCCACUUCAUAAAUUGAACUUUUUAUAUAACUAAACUGUUUUUGCUAAUGCUUAAAGCUUGAGGUACUUCUGCUGGUAUCUAUACCCAGGUCUUUUCUACUAAGCUUUACAUCCACUAAUUCCAACCACUGAACUGG
Oreochromis aureus is the source of this 1712-nucleotide long non-coding RNA. Lineage: Eukaryota; Metazoa; Chordata; Actinopteri; Cichliformes; Cichlidae. The record is from Ensembl.